GAUGAAGAACGUAGCGAAAUGCGAUAAGUAAUGUGAAUUGCAGAAUUCAGUGAAUCAUCGAAUCUUUGAACGCACAUUGCGCCCGCUGGUAUUCCGGCGGGCAUGCCUGUUCGAGCGUCAUUUCAACCCUCAAGCUCUCCGGAGUUUGGUGUUGGGGCGCCUGGGGCUUUUCGACCUCAGGGCCCUCAAGUCCAUCGGCGGGACCGCCAGGACACUGAGCGCAGUAGUAUUAUUUCGCUCGGUAGUAUCUUCCACGGCGGGUCGAUCUGGCCGCUAAACCCCCCAAUUCUCACCAAAGGUUGACCUCGGAUCAGGUAGGAAUACCCGCUGAACUUAAGCAUAUCAAUAAGCGGAGGA
Molecule: unclassified non-coding RNA, 357 nt
Filed under: soil metagenome
Description: partial contains 5.8S ribosomal RNA, internal transcribed spacer 2, and large subunit ribosomal RNA
Rfam family: 5.8S ribosomal RNA (bases 1-120)
Source: RNAcentral